CCUACGGGCGGCAGCAGUGGGGAAUAUUGGACAAUGGGGGCAACCCUGAUCCAGCCAUGCCGCGUGUGUGAAGGAGGCCCUCGGGUUGUAAAGCACUUUCAGUGAGGAAGAACGCCUGGUGGUUAAUACCCAUCAGGAAAGACAUCACUCACAGAAGAAGCACCGGCUAACUCCGUGCCAGCAGCCGCGGUAAUACGGAGGGUGCGAGCGUUAAUCGGAAUUACUGGGCGUAAAGCGCGCGUAGGUGGCUUGAUAAGCCGGUUGUGAAAGCCCCGGGCUCAACCUGGGAACGGCAUCCGGAACUGUCAAGCUAGAGUGCAGGAGAGGAAGGUAGAAUUCCCGGUGUAGCGGUGAAAUGCGUAGAGAUCGGGAGGAAUACCAGUGGCGAAGGCGGCCUUCUGGACUGACACUGACACUGAGGUGCGAAAGCGUGGGUAGCAAACAGGAUUAGAUACCCUGGUAGUC
RNAcentral lists this ribosomal RNA (465 nucleotides) under Vreelandella stevensii. RNAcentral's name for it is "partial 16S ribosomal RNA". It matches the Rfam family "Bacterial small subunit ribosomal RNA", at positions 338 to 795 of the family's 1533-position model. Lineage: Bacteria; Pseudomonadati; Pseudomonadota; Gammaproteobacteria; Oceanospirillales; Halomonadaceae. The record is from RNAcentral.